This 245-nucleotide ribosomal RNA is filed under the name uncultured bacterium. RNAcentral describes it as "partial 16S ribosomal RNA". It matches the Rfam family "Bacterial small subunit ribosomal RNA", at positions 524 to 768 of the family's 1533-position model. The record is from RNAcentral.
UACAGAGACGGCAAGCGUUGUUCGGAUUCACUGGGCGUAAAGGGUCCGCAGGUGGUGAAGCAAGUCUGAUGUGAAAUCCCGCAGCUUAACUGCGGAACUGCAUCGGAUACUACUUCGCUUGAGGAUGGUAGAGGAGUCUGGAAUUCUUGGUGUAGCGGUGAAAUGCGUAGAUAUCAAGAGGAACACCGGUGGCGAAGGCGAGACUCUGGACCAUUCCUGACACUCAGGGACGAAAGCGUGGGGAG